AUGCCAUCACCAUUACAUACUCCCACAUCUAUAAACUCCUUCCGUCGAACUCCCAUCGUGAUACUUCCAACCAAAUGCGGUACCAGCUUAGUGGACACGCCCUGCAUACUCCCUCUGAACUUUCCUCGUUCCCCUUGUGAUUUCCACCUCUGUAUUCAACCUUGCUCCGACCGCCGCGAGCAGCUCAAUAUCUCACCGCCUGUUGGACUUCUUCCGGCCCUCGGAAUCUCAUUGAUUGCCCCGACUUAUCAACUCCCCUAG
Molecule: non-coding RNA, 261 nt
Organism: Vicia faba (fava bean)
Lineage: Eukaryota; Viridiplantae; Streptophyta; Magnoliopsida; Fabales; Fabaceae
Source: the annotation of a GenBank genome assembly